CGGCGACGGGUGAGUAACACGUGGAUAACCUACCUAUAAGACUGGGAUAACUUCGGGAAACCGGAGCUAAUACCGGGUAAUAUAUUGAACCGCAUGGUUCAAUAGUGAAAGACGGUUUUGCUGUCACUUAUAGAUGGAUCCGCGCCGCAUUAGCUAGUUGGUAAGGUAACGGCUUACCAAGGCAACGAUGCGUAGCCGACCUGAGAGGGUGAUCGGCCACACUGGAACUGAGACACGGUCCAG
RNAcentral lists this ribosomal RNA (243 nucleotides) under uncultured Staphylococcus sp. Its description in RNAcentral is "partial 16S ribosomal RNA". It matches the Rfam family "Bacterial small subunit ribosomal RNA", at positions 102 to 334 of the family's 1533-position model. The record is from RNAcentral. Lineage: Bacteria; Bacillati; Bacillota; Bacilli; Caryophanales; Staphylococcaceae.